ACGAACGCUGUCGGCUUGCUUAACACAUGCCAGUCGAACGGAAAGGCCCUGCUUGCAGGGUACUCGAGUGGCGAACGGGUGAGUAACACGUGGUUGAUCUGCCCUUCACUUCGGGAUAAGCCUGGGAAACUGGGUCUAAUACCUGUUAGGAGCCAUUUUUCGUGUGAUGUUUGGAAAGUUUUUUCGGUGUAGUAUGAGCUCGCGGCCUAGCAGCUUGUUGGUGGGGUAAUGGCCUACCAAGGCGGCGACGGGUAGCCGGCCUGAGAGGGUGGACGGCCACAUUGGGACUGAGAUACGGCCCAGAAGCCUACAGGAGGCAGCAGUGGGGAAUAGUGGAAAAUGGGCGCAAGCCUGAUGCAGCGGCGCCGCGUGGGGGAUGACGGCCUGCAGGUUGUAAACUCCUUUCGCUAGGGACGAAGCUUUUUGGUACGGUAGCUAGAUAAGAAGCCCCGGCUAACUACGUG
RNAcentral lists this ribosomal RNA (464 nucleotides) under uncultured bacterium. RNAcentral's name for it is "partial 16S ribosomal RNA". It matches the Rfam family "Bacterial small subunit ribosomal RNA", at positions 29 to 507 of the family's 1533-position model. The record is from RNAcentral.